AUGGUACGCCACGUAGGAAGAACCUGCCAGGUUGUGCCCACACAACCCUGGUGGGAGCCCCCAUGCGGUCAAUGUUCUGUGGCAAUUGGAGCAGAAUAAGAGGCAAGAACUCUGGGAACAGGGGAAACCAAAAGGAUUGGAGGUGCUGCAGAUGAAGUAUAGGGUACUGAAGCGGAGAUCUGGGGAAGGGAACUCAUCAAAAUGAUAUUUAAACGUAGGUCAGCUGCAGUGCGAUUGUCUGAAGUUGGAACAUCCAGGGCAGAGAAGAGCAAGAAGAAGCGCAGUCUAAUGAAAGCACACCCGGCACGCUCAAGGGAUGGAGGCAGGGGAUGCUAGGCCAGCAGUAGAGGUGCGAAGGUAGCAAUGAAGGAGGACAAGAAGGCAGGAAGAAGGAACCGACUGCCCUAUUUUUUUUCAGAUACUCUUCUACUCUGACCUGCAUAUCUGAACUUUCAAGACAUGCUUCCUCCCUUAGAGAAGACGUCUUUCGAUGGUAUGCACUGUCUGUUAGGAUGAGCAAAGAGCCUGUCAGUGGCAAACUGGGUGAGGAGCCGGCUCCCAGCCCCUGGCCUCUUCCAGCUGGAGGUUGCAUUUAUAAAACGGGUGUGGAUGGAGAGAUUCUUAUGCCUCAUUCAGGACUGUGCUCUUAGGCUCAUUCCUUAGUUUCUCCUUAGAAAUUACUGAACCAACCUUAUCAUUUGCUGGGUGCUAUGCUUAGCACCUUAUAAUUGUGAACUCAUUUAGUUCUCAUAGCAACCCCUCUAAUGUGGGUAACAUUAUCACCUACAUUCUACAAGGUCACCAUUAUUUCAGAGUCCACAGCCUCACCCUGUAGUCUGGACAAGCCUUACCUACAAGGCUUUGUUUUCUAUUCUGCAAUUAUAACUACCCAGGAAUUCACAUAUCCUUGGGGCUUUCUCCUUAUGAAGACUUGGUGAGGGGCUGACUUUUUUUUCUUUCUUUCUUUCUUUUUGUUUUUGUUUUUGUUUUUUGUCUCUCCCAGGAGGUACUACAGAGCAGAGUACCCAUUUUGCACUUAGUGAAUGCAUUUUUCAACCACAACUCCUAGCCUCCACCAGCUGGGCCACUCUGUUCUCCAUGGUCUAAGCUGUAGAAGAAACAGUUUUGACUUUUCAUUUUGCAUCCCAGCUGCUGUUCAGAUCAUUUGCCACACUCCUGGAUCUUGGUACCCCGGCCUUCUCCUGCCUGUUUGUUAUUGUAAGAAGUGGCUCUAGGGCUGCCAGCUAGGUGUGACCAACCUCUCUCGGGUCUGUUUGUUCCACCCCAUGCAGCUACCCACUGCAAAAAGAGGUGCCCUUGAAAGUACCUCCUCCCUUAAGACUUAUCUCCUGUGCCCUGGGAAGUUGCCUAGCAACCUCCCCCUUCUUUCUCUCCUUCCCCACGCUCUUGUGCAGCUCCAUUCCCAUUGCCAUCACUCCAGCACCCACGCCCAGCUUCUCUUCAGUGUCAUCAAGCCGUGCCUCUCUGCUUCAGUGGCCCACCAUCCAGCUUCCACAGACUGCAUUAUAAAACAAACCUAGGCUGAGGCGUCCUUUCAUUUCCUGACCUUGGACAGUUCUGAGAGACUCUUCACACCACCAUUUUAAUAGUAACCUCCAGGGCAAACUACCAAAGAAGGAGGCAAAAGCAAAAGCAAAACCAAGACAAAACACAAAGAAAGAAAACUCUCCCAAAACAAAAGACUGAAAUUUCUUAAGGUGUGUACCCAAACUUCAGAUAACUCUUUUUAUCCCCACCUUAAAAAGUUGGACCAUAUUAGGCUAUGGCAGGCAAGCUAGGUGGUGGCCUGAGGAGCAGUGUGCAGUAUUAUUACUUAUUCUGGAACCAAGGCAGAGCUUUCCUCUGUUGCCCUCUUCACAAUCUGGAAGAAAGGAAGAUCCUCCCUUGUCUUGAAGGCCAUUCAACAAGCAUCAUGGUAGUUUGGGGUAUGUCUGCCACCAUUUUGACUGCUAUUGAGUAACAGACAGCAGGCGGUUCCUUGCCAAGCCCACCUCCUUACAGAGAAAGGUGGUCUCUUAGGGAGACAAAGAGUCACCCCUUCUUAACAUCAGUCAGAACAUCUGUUUGGCUCAGUCCUGACUUUUCAACAGCAAAAUCUCACUCCUCUGCCAUGAAUUUAGAUCUAACUGAAUCUGCUAAUCCAGGGCUUCAUAGAUGUCUCCACUUGCAUGACCACUUUGUGCCUGGGAAGUUCUUAUGUGACUCAAUUCUUAUAGACACAUAAAUAGGCACAUAAAUCAGACAUUUGGCAGUAAUAAAUCAUAAAGAAAUUUACUUUAAAAUAAUUUUUGGGGGCUCUCGAAAGAGACCUCUUGGUAAAGUGCUUGCUUUGCAAGACCGAAGACCUGUAUUUGAUCCCCAGAAGCUGUGUACAGAAACUGGACAUGUUUGUAAUCACAGCCCUGGGGAGGAAGAGACUGAUGGAUGCUCAGGGCUCACUAUCCAGCCUGCCGAUCUAUUUGGUGAGUUCCAGCUGGUCAGUGAGAAAUCUUAUCGCAGAAAAUAAUGUUGAUAGCACCUGAGAAACCACAGCUGAGGUUGUCCUCUGGCUUCUAGAUAGAUUCACAUGUGUGCACAUAAACUUAUACUUAUGUACACAUAUGAGCUCUAGUUCUCUCUCUCUCUCUCUCUCUCACACACACACACACACACACCAAUUAUUCAGCAUACACAUAACGUAGAGUUUAUUAAAGAUUAAAGCAAAUCUGCAUUCUCCA
Molecule: long non-coding RNA, 2738 nt
Organism: Mesocricetus auratus (golden hamster)
Lineage: Eukaryota; Metazoa; Chordata; Mammalia; Rodentia; Cricetidae
Exons: 2
Source: RefSeq, a predicted model, not a curated record